This 30-nucleotide non-coding RNA is filed under the name Mus musculus (house mouse). Lineage: Eukaryota; Metazoa; Chordata; Mammalia; Rodentia; Muridae. The record is from RNAcentral.
UGGCACGAUGAUCUCUGCGGCCGGCUGAGG